Molecule: transfer RNA, 67 nt
Filed under: Cryptocephalus sp. CRY01
Lineage: Eukaryota; Metazoa; Arthropoda; Insecta; Coleoptera; Chrysomelidae
Description: tRNA-Ser
Source: RNAcentral
AGCUAAUGAACUUGAUUAAGUAUAUAUUUUGAAAAUAUAAUAUAGAAGUUUAACCUUCUAUUAGCUU